Long non-coding RNA from Lagopus muta (rock ptarmigan), 3214 nucleotides. RefSeq lists it as uncharacterized. The transcript has 4 exons. Lineage: Eukaryota; Metazoa; Chordata; Aves; Galliformes; Phasianidae. The record is from RefSeq and is a predicted model, not a curated record.
GGAAAGGGUCUCUUUCUGGAGAUCCUUCCUCUGGAGUUUUGCAGUGAGCCCAGGAUGUAGAAACCAUCUUAGCAUUACUGUGUGCAGUAAAGCAAGCUAUCUUGUUCAACUCAGAGAAGGCUGGAUUUGAUUUGCCCUCGUGAGUCAACAGGACACAAAUUCUGAGUCCCCUAGCUGAAAGUGGACCACUCCUUUGCAAGCAACAAGAGACAUGCCUUCAAAGUUUAUGACUUAGCUUUUCCACUCUCUUACAGACCAAAAACAUGGAGGACUUCCUCAUCUUCAAGCCAGGUGGUGGAUGUAUCAGGGAAGAAAUUCAGAGAAUCGCAUGGAGAAGCCUGCAUGGUGUCCAGGGGCAAACAAAGGUGCUCAAAGUAACACACUCAAAAGAUAAGGGAUGCUUUACCGCUAACAACCCAAGUAGCUGCCAGAGAAAGUUCUAAAGAGGAGAAGAUUUGGACUCAGCUGGGCAGUAGGUGGCUUCCUUUCCUCCCUUAGCGGGUAGCUUUCUCCUUACUUCUUUCGAACUGUGGGCAGCCAUGACCCUCCCAGGAUCACAUGGAGAAAACUCACAGACCUCUGAAGUGAAGAGAUCUGUUUAAAAUUCUGUCCCUCUCCUCACUGAUCUUUAUAGUCCUUGAUUUUGCUCAUGCACUACAGACUUGAUCCUUCCAACCAGCAUCAACUGGCAUUUUCUCAUUGACUUCAGCUAAGUGAGAUCAGGACACAGACAGGGCUCUGCUUUAGAAAUUGCUGUACACUGGUAAUUGAAGAAUUUUAUUCAAAGACAUUUAUCUGUGCUGAUGAAAUUAAAAUAGAAUAGGAAAGAGAGGGAGGAAAAAAAGCUCGGGCAGAAAGGCUGGCAUUUUAUUUUUCUUCAGCUUGCUUCUGUAGUAGAUUGACCUCCCUCAGAUAAAUCCGUACACCAUGGUAACUAUUUUCUCACCGAGGAAAAAUUUCCAAGUUCAGCUGAAGGCCUAUACAUCAUAUUAAGCAUAUAGCUAAACUGUGCAAGUGCGUAGUCUUGCUGCCCUCUUCCCAUCCUUCCCUCCUGCUGUUUGUCAUACUUACUGUCAUAUCUCGUUUCAAAGUCGGGUAAGGGCAUCAGGGCAGGGCAUGUGCCUUCCUCUGUGUUUGCAAAGCAGCAGUGUGUGGGAGUACAGGAAAGAAAGGGAAGGGAAACACGUUUCCAGAUCUUUGGAGGAUAAAUUAUAAAGCAAUAAUAACACGCUGUAAAAUAAAUGCUAUCAACUGAUAUUUACACAGUCCUUUAUCUAAAGUCUCUCUCUAAUGUGCUCAGCAUAAUUACAGUGCUGUUUGGCAAAACAUAGGUGGACAGAAUAAUAAUUCCUUUAUUGCUGUAUGGUUUUGUUGCAUAUUCACAGAUAGCCUAUACCCGGCAGGUCUAAAAUAAUAAUAACUGGAGUUCAUAUCUGGAUAUCUUUGGUAAGCACUGGGACCCUCUGGAAAGCAGAAACUUCUGUGGGCAGACAACUUCCCAACAUGGUGUGAAGCCAUGGGCCAGCUCAGGUGCUUGGCAGCUGAUGCUGAAGGCCAGCCUCAUGGAGCUGGUGGAGCGUAAGGCAAAAUGGGGAUUGUGAAGGCAAAACCUAGUCUGUAGGGUUUCCUUUACAACGUUUUAUAUACGAGAAAUAAAUGAAUGAGAUUUAAGGUGUUGUUUGCUUGUUUGUUUUACACAAACAACACAAAUAUCCAGGGAGAAGGAGUAGAAACUGAUGAAAGUUUACAAAAAGCAGUGGGAUAGGGCCCUCUAAGGUCGCUUCAGAGACAGAAGCACCAAUAAGAAGUCCACUGGGAGUCAGAGCAUAAAGAGAGAGAUUCAAUGAGUCAUAGAAUGUCCUGAGUUGGAAUGGACCUGUAAGGAUCAGUGACUCCAACUCGUGCUUCCAGGCAAUCAAGUUAUUUAUAAGUGAAUGCGAUAGAAAGGAGAAAAGGGCACUUUAGGAUUCAACUGGACAUGUGUAACUUGGUUUUCUCCCAGCAUCCCAUGGAUUGCAACACCCUCUGUGCAGACUUUUCCCAGCAUCUUAUCUAAAUGCUGCAGCUUUAUAACGAACUCUCCUUGGCCGUGAGGAAUCUAAUUGUCAUGGAGCUGGCUAGGAUUUGGGUAGAAGUGGUUAGAGCCCUGAGGCAACACAGAAAACUGUCACAGCUCAAGAGAAGGUGAACGUGUUCUCCCCUCACAGUGAAGGAACUUAUGCUCACUAGCACAUGUAUUGGCUCUUUAAGAACUACAAAUACACAAAAAGCUUAAGCCAUGACUUCUGCAGACGACAUGUUAGAGCCACUACAAUUAAAUGUAUAGGAUAUCUUUUAAGCACAACUUCAUUCACAGCAGAUUUCGUUGCCCUUUUGUCUGAUAUCAGUGUGCUUUUCAAGGCAACAGAGAGCUGCCUUGAAAGUCAGAGAUGGCCAUCUUAUCUGCUGUUUUUUUUUUCUUCCUCCCCUUUUUUCUGAAAAAUCACUGCUCUACAGGGUAAAUUGUUUUUAACAAAGACUUUUACAUGGAUGCAAGCUUAUUAGCUGACAUGAGGAAAAAAGAAGGAAAUGAAAGGUGAUGCAGUGCACAGAGGCAGAGAAGCAGUGCUCUGCAGGCAGUCUGUUCUUCUCCCGCUUACUACUUAUUUGCAGGAUUUGUAUGCCCAUACCCUUAGAUCCCAUCACUCUGGUGGUGACAACACUAACAGAAGCACGUUAGGUGAAGCAUGAGGAACAGCCUUUUUUUGCCUCAGGACAGAACUUCCAGAGAUGGCAUGCAACUUUCCCAUUUGGUUUCUGUUGAAAUCAUGUUGACCAGCGAUGAAAUAGAAGUCUAUAAGCCUCAUUGGUGGUGCCAGUAUGGAUGACAAAAACAGGGUUUAUCCAGUUUGACUCAUGAUGCUGCAUUUGGAGCACAUAAGUUCUGAGCUCCAGCUCUCUCCUGUCCUUACAUGUACUCUGAUUGCCCUUAACUUGUGAACUGCAGUGUUUUCUUUGUUAGCAUGUUUGUAAGUAUGUUUGUUAAAUUCAUGCCAUACAGUAAUUAAUCUGAAAAUGAUGUAAUUUGUACAGAGCUGGCAAGCUCACAGUAUUCACAAUACAUACAGCACAGCCAUGUUAUGUCUGGGACAGCUACGUCCCCGUUUGGAUAUUAAUGCAGAGUGACCACUGCCAACCUUAUGGCAAUUGGCUCUUUGCAAGAAGUCAUUCUGAU